Molecule: long non-coding RNA, 903 nt
Organism: Oncorhynchus keta (chum salmon)
Lineage: Eukaryota; Metazoa; Chordata; Actinopteri; Salmoniformes; Salmonidae
Exons: 3
Source: RefSeq, a predicted model, not a curated record
AAUAGACCAGGUCAUAUUCACUGAGGGGUUUAAUAGACCAGGUCAUAUUCAUAUUCACUGAGGGGUUUAAUAGACCAGGUCAUAUUCAUAUUCACUGAGGGGUUUAAUAGACCAGGUCAUAUUCACUGAGGGGUUUAAUAGACCAGGUCAUAUUCACUGAGGGGUUUAAUAGACCAGGUCAUAUUCAUAUUCACUGAGGGGUUUAAUAGACCAGGUCAUAUCCACUGAGGGGUUUAAUAGACCAGGUCAUAUUCAUAUUCACUGAGUGGUUUAAUAGACCAGGUCAUAUUCACUGAGGGGUUUAAUAGACCAGGUCAUAUUCACUGAGGGGUUUAAUAGACCAGGUCAUAUUCACUGAGGGGUUUAAUAGACCAGGUCAUAUUCAUAUUCACUGAGGGGUUUAAUAGACCAGGUCAUAUCCACUGAGGGGUUUAAUAGACCAGGUCAUAUUCAUAUUCACUGAGGGGUUUAAUAGACCAGGUCAUAUUCACUGAGGGGUUUAAUAGACCAGGUCAUAUUCACUGAGGGGUUUAAUAGACCAGGUCAUAUUCAUAUUCACUGAGGGGUUUAAUAGACCAGGUCAUAUUCACUGAGGGGUUUAAUAGACCAGGUCAUAUUCAUAUUCACUGAGGGGUUUAAUAGACCAGGUCAUAUUCAUAUUCACUGAGGGGUUUAAUAGACCAGGUCAUAUUCAUAUUCACUGAGUGGUUUAAUAGACCAGGUCAUAUUCACUGAGUGGUUUAAUAGACCAGGUCAUAUUCACUGAGGGGUUUAAUAGACCAGGUCAUAUUCACUGAGGGGUUUAAUAGACCAGGUCAUAUUCACUGAGUGGUUUAAUAGACCAGGUCAUAUUCACUGAGGGGUUUAAUAGACCAGGUCAUAUUCACUGAGGGGUUUAAUAGA